UGAGCAACCUACCGAAAUGUGGGGGAUAGCCGGCCUAACGGCCGAGUAAUACCGCAUACGCUCUCGAUGAGGCAUUUCAUUGAGAGGAAACCUACGGGACAUUUCGAGGGGCUCGCGGCCUAUCAGCUAGUUGGAGAGGUAACGGCUCACCAAGGCAACGACGGGUAGCUGGUCUGAGAGGAUGGCCAGCCACAUUGGGACUGAGAUACGGCCCAGACUCCUACGGGAGCAG
RNAcentral lists this ribosomal RNA (232 nucleotides) under uncultured bacterium. Its description in RNAcentral is "partial 16S ribosomal RNA". It matches the Rfam family "Bacterial small subunit ribosomal RNA", at positions 118 to 347 of the family's 1533-position model. The record is from RNAcentral.